This is a long non-coding RNA of Megalobrama amblycephala (Wuchang bream), 1386 nucleotides long. RefSeq lists it as uncharacterized. NCBI's taxonomy places the organism in Eukaryota, Metazoa, Chordata, Actinopteri, Cypriniformes, Xenocyprididae. The record is from RefSeq and is a predicted model, not a curated record. The transcript has 4 exons.
CAACAUUGUCAUUCUUGUUUCUAAUGAUGUGAUCAAACCAACUGAAUGAAAUAUGAGUCCAUUCAGAAGAGAACACAGGAGAACUGAAUGAUGAUAUGAACAAUCUGAGAGAGAGAAGGAAGAGGAGGAUGAUAAAGAGGAAGGUGAGAGAGUGUUGUUAGAUCGACACACCAGAGGUUUUCCUCAUCAUUUCCUGUGGUGUGAACACAGAGACAGUAUGGGGCAGGUGUAUAACACACACAAACAAUCCUUGUUAGCUUCAGCCUGAGCUUUUCUAAGAAUUUGAGCUCUGUGUAUUUUCUUUAUAGCUUUUCUAAGAAUCUGAGCCCUUGCCGCGAUUUCUUGGAUAGUUAUAUAAAACACCAUUCAAGCAGCACAGCAUCAGCACAGAUCAGAGCUGCGUCGAUGUUUCCUCUUUUCUGCUCAUCACAAGAUACAAAUGGAGUAGAGAAAGAAAAUCACACAUCCAGAAAACUGCUGGAGCCUCAGAAAUCGCAGAUCUCCAGCAGAGAGAAACAUGGAGACACACACCAGUGAUUUACAAGAGAGAAGAGGACAGACACUUGAUAGAUGUGAGAGUAUGGAGAGACUAAGGCCAAACUAUGCUGUUCUUCACGAGUUUCUGCAGUCACUGUGUAAGCGGCCAUCAGACACAAUAAUGAGAAGAUCAUCAGAAAAUGGAAUAUUGGUCCAAUAAUUUUUUUUCUUUAAUGAAAACAUGGUGCAUUAUCCUGCUGAAAGAGCCACUUCCACCUGUGAACACAAAGGUGUUGCCUGGCCUCCAAAAUCCCCAGAUCUCAAUCAAAUUAUGCAUCUGAAGAUGUGCUGAACCAGCCAGUUCAAUCCACGGCAGCUCCACCUUACAGCCUAAAGGACUUCAAAUGUCUUGGUGGUGUCAUUAAUGUCAUUUUCUCCACAGGGAAACUGAUGUUUGAAGAUAACUUAUAAACCUUUAAAGGCAACUAUGAGCUACAAGGCUGAUAUUCGAUGAUAUUUGCUUCAACUUUAUCCAAAUUAUACAGAUUCCUCCAUCUUAAUAUCAGAUCUCAUAUUUCUCCUCACACCGUCUCUGAUCUGAACUAAGAGGCUUUUGAGUUUGCAGUGAAAUCUACUUGCACCAUCUAGUGGUCAAAGAGGGUAACAAAUCUUCUAUGUCUUGAAUUAAAUCUUCAGAAUUGACCAGCAUUCACUAAUUAUGUUCCAAAUACUGAAUGUAAGUUAAUUUAAACCCUUAUUAAUUAGAAGCUAAUUAAAACAACAGUGCUGUGUUUGACAUGGAUCAGUUUAUUACAUCCACUGAACUCCUUACUUAAAAUUGAGUUGAACUUGAUCUCUUUGUUGUGGUGGAUGAACAGAAAGAGCGAAUAAAGCAUUAAAUCAACUGAA